CCCCGAUGACAACUGGCCGGCGCCAGUUCGUUGCGCUUCAUGUCCCGUUCGUGUGCUCCGGUAUCGCUGAUCGACAACCCGUGUGUACCGACCUUCGCCUGUUCUCCGACCAACCUUUUCUUCCCACUGAGUGUGAAGUUGUUCCAGCUGCUGCUCCAGCAGAGCAGAAUCAGCCACCGCUACAUACUGGGACAGGUCGGUCUUCAUGGAGGCCAGAUCCUUCAGUUUACUGGCUAGAUGGCGCAGAGAGAGGAGCUAGUGCGAUGGAAUGAAGACGGUCAGUGAUACCCAGCUGUGGAUGUGGAUCAGCGAUAGAUUUGAGCUGUACUUUGAUCCCUCUUGGCAGGAGCUUUGUGCAAAGGCUCACGCCAUGCCUGAAUGUGAGAGUUUGUGCACGUAUGUGUGCAUAUGUAUGCAUGUAUGUGUGCGUGUGUGUUUGCUUGUGUGUGUUUCUGGUGGGAUCAGGGCCUGGAUAUGGGUCACGCAAAGCUGACCCCACCCCCUCCUAUUACAUUGACACUAACCCACACUCUUUCCAGAAUGUGGAUUCCUACAGUCCA
Long non-coding RNA from Syngnathoides biaculeatus (alligator pipefish), 560 nucleotides. RefSeq lists it as uncharacterized. The record is from RefSeq and is a predicted model, not a curated record. NCBI's taxonomy places the organism in Eukaryota, Metazoa, Chordata, Actinopteri, Syngnathiformes, Syngnathidae. The transcript has 3 exons.